UGGUAGUNCACGCCCUAAACGAUGUCGAUUAGCUGUUGGGCAGCAUGACUGCUUAGUAGCGAAGCUAACGCGUGAAAUCGACCGCCUGGGGAGUACGGUCGCAAGAUUAAAACUCAAAGGAAUUGACGGGGACCCGCACAAGCGGUGGAUGAUGUGGAUUAAUUCGAUGCAACGCGAAGAACCUUACCUGGUCUUGACAUGUACGGAACCCUCCAGAGACGGAGGGGUGCCUUCGGGAGCCGUAACACAGGUGCUGCAUGGCUGUCGUCAGCUCGUGUCGUGAGAUGUUGGGUUAAGUCCCGCAACGAGCGCAACCCUUGUCAUUAGUUGCCAUCAUUAAGUUGGGCACUCUAAUGAGACUGCCGGUGACAAGCCGGAGGAAGGUGGGGAUGACGUCAAGUCCUCAUGGCCCUUAUGACCAGGGCUUCACACGUCAUACAAUGGUCGGUACAGAGGGUAGCCAAGCCGCGAGGUGGAGCCAAUCUCACAAAACCGAUCGUAGUCCGGAUUGCACUCUGCAACUCGAGUGCAUGAAGUCGGAAUCGCUAGUAAUCGCAGGUCAGCAUACUGCGGUGAAUACGUUCCCGGGUCUUGUACA
RNAcentral lists this ribosomal RNA (598 nucleotides) under uncultured bacterium. Its description in RNAcentral is "bacterial SSU rRNA". It matches the Rfam family "Bacterial small subunit ribosomal RNA", at positions 788 to 1387 of the family's 1533-position model. The record is from RNAcentral.